CUGCAUAGACAAAGACCAAAAUGAUCAUAUCUGUCUUCGGUUGGAAUUACAAGUAUAGCAGAGCUCUUUGCUUAAGGCUUCAAGAAAGAGCGGACAAAAACAUUGUGGAUAAACGAUAUCUGUACCAGACAGCUGGGUGCUUCCUUUCUGGGUCUGGGCCAGCCGAUACGGCGUCUACUCUGAAUCAGCCUCUCUCUCUCUGCUGUUCGAUGCGUGAAGAUGAAAAUCAGAGGCUGAGCAAGCCUGAGUCUAAUAAAGAAACUCCGACUCCCCAUUCUCCCCCCUCCUUUUUUUCCUGUUGGAGAGAGAUCGACAAACUUUUCACGUGGAUGGGUCUACUUGGAGUUAAUCCAGAGACGUAGUAUGGAGAAGAACUGUAGGCUGGUCUGUGAGCAUUCUCUAAGGAACAUAGUGACCUGUUAUCUUAUCUUGGUGUUGGAAGGGGGCUUGACAUCAGGACUCAAUGCUUAUCCUUUGGAAGUAGUUUGGUCUCACUUGUGACUCCAAGAAGCUAUAGCAUGUGCAGUGUCCACACCCUGGUAAAGCAAUCUCAGCAGACUGGCUGAACCAAGUGGAGAGUAACCAGCAGGCCUCAAAAUCGUCAGAGAAUUAGAAGGGUAUCUACUCCCGGCAUGUGAAGACUCCCCCAGCAGAAUGGGCAGAUGAGAACAAUUUGUUCCAAUGGCCAUGGUGGCGACCGAAGCAAGCGCUGUGGAGGGUAUAGAGCUUGGUUCGACAUUGAAUACCCCAAGGUCAUCCACUGCAUCCCAGGCCAUUGCCUGUCUUCCUGACUUUUGUCUUGCCACUGGACUUUGAGGACUCUGGGAGACAGUGAGGCUGACCUUUGUGCAACUCUGCCUCACUGAAAUCCAGUUCAUGCCCGAGUCAAGAUGUCACCCGUUGAUGUCCUUGGUCCUCUUCAAAAAUGAACGACAAAGAACAGCCACAAAGACAAUAACAAGAUUUCA
Long non-coding RNA from Vombatus ursinus (common wombat), 968 nucleotides. RefSeq lists it as uncharacterized. The transcript has 3 exons. The record is from RefSeq and is a predicted model, not a curated record. NCBI's taxonomy places the organism in Eukaryota, Metazoa, Chordata, Mammalia, Diprotodontia, Vombatidae.